CACAAAUAUGAAGGCGGGCUGGAACCUCUCGGGGUUACAGCCUUGCUGAAUUAUUCACCCUUGUCUUUUGCGUACUUCUCGUUUCCUUGGUGGGUUCGCCCACCACUAGGACAAACAUAAACCUUUUGUAAUUGCAAUCAGCGUCAGUAACAAAUUAAUAAUUA
This 164-nucleotide unclassified non-coding RNA is filed under the name soil metagenome. Its description in RNAcentral is "partial internal transcribed spacer 1". The record is from RNAcentral.